Molecule: ribosomal RNA, 427 nt
Filed under: uncultured bacterium
Lineage: Bacteria
Description: bacterial SSU rRNA
Rfam family: Bacterial small subunit ribosomal RNA
Source: RNAcentral
UGGGGAAUUUUGGACAAUGGGCGCAAGCCUGAUCCAGCAAUGCCGCGUGCAGGAUGAAGGCCUUCGGGUUGUAAACUGCUUUUGUACGGAGCGAAAAGGUCUGCCCUAAUACGGUGGGCUCAUGACGGUACCGUAAGAAUAAGCACCGGCUAACUACGUGCCAGCAGCCGCGGUAAUACGUAGGGUGCGAGCGUUAAUCGGAAUUACUGGGCGUAAAGCGUGCGCAGGCGGUUAUAUAAGACAGAUGUGAAAUCCCCGGGCUCAACCUGGGACCUGCAUUAGUGACUGUAGAGCUAGAGUACGGUAGAGGGGGAUGGAAUUCCGCGUGUAGCAGUGAAAUGCGUAGAUAUGCGGAGGAACACCGAUGGCGAAGGCAAUCCCCUGGGCCUGCACUGACGCUCAUGCACGAAAGCGUGGGGAGCAAACA